UCCAGACUCCUACGGGAGGCAGCAGUGGGGAAUAUUGCACAAUGGGCGAAAGCCUGAUGCAGCAACGCCGCGUGAGCGAUGAAGGCCUUCGGGUCGUAAAGCUCUGUCCUCAAGGAAGAUAAUGACGGUACUUGAGGAGGAAGCCCCGGCUAACUACGUGCCAGCAGCCGCGGUAAUACGUAGGGGGCUAGCGUUAUCCGGAUUUAUUGGGUUUAAAGGGUGCGCAGGCGGCACGGCAAGCCGGCGGUCAAAUCGCGGGGCCCAACCCCGCCCAGCCGUCGGAACUGCCGGGCUAGAGUGGGCGAGAAGUGCGCGGAAUGCGUGGUGUAGCGGUGAAAUGCAUAGAUAUCACGCAGAACUCCGAUUGCGAAGGCAGCGCACCGGCGCCCUACUGACGCUCAGGCACGAAAGCGUGGGUAUCGAACAGGAUUAGAUACCCCCGUAC
RNAcentral lists this ribosomal RNA (445 nucleotides) under uncultured bacterium. RNAcentral describes it as "partial 16S ribosomal RNA". It matches the Rfam family "Bacterial small subunit ribosomal RNA", at positions 330 to 793 of the family's 1533-position model. The record is from RNAcentral.